GAUGAACGCUGGCGGCGUGCCUAAUACAUGCAAGUCGAGCGAACAGACGAGGAGCUUGCUCCUCUGACGUUAGCGGCGGACGGGUGAGUAACACGUGGAUAACCUACCUAUAAGACUGGGAUAACUUCGGGAAACCGGAGCUAAUACCGGAUAAUAUAUUGAACCGCAUGGUUCAAUAGUGAAAGACGGUUUUGCUGUCACUUAUAGAUGGAUCCGCGCCGCAUUAGCUAGUUGGUAAGGUAACGGCUUACCAAGGCAACGAUGCGUAGCCGACCUGAGAGGGUGAUCGGCCACACUGGAACUGAGACACGGUCCAGACUCCUACGGGAGGCAGCAGUAGGGAAUCUUCCGCAAUGGGCGAAAGCCUGACGGAGCAACGUCGCGUGAGCGAUGAAGGUCUUCGGAUCGUAAAACUCUGUUAUUAGGGAAGAACAAAUGUGUAAGUAACUAUGCACGUCUUGACGGUACCUAAUCAGAAAGCCACGGCUAACUACGUG
Molecule: ribosomal RNA, 497 nt
Filed under: uncultured bacterium
Lineage: Bacteria
Description: partial 16S ribosomal RNA
Rfam family: Bacterial small subunit ribosomal RNA
Source: RNAcentral